Molecule: ribosomal RNA, 236 nt
Filed under: uncultured bacterium
Lineage: Bacteria
Description: partial 16S ribosomal RNA
Rfam family: Bacterial small subunit ribosomal RNA
Source: RNAcentral
CCGCACGGGUGAGUAACACGUAUCCAACUUGCCGUCUACUCUUGGACAGCCUUCUGAAAGGAAGAUUAAUACAAGAUGGCAUCAUGAGUCCGCAUGUUCACAUGAUUAAAGGUAUUCCGGUAGACGAUGGGGAUGCGUUCCAUUAGAUAGUAGGCGGGGUAACGGCCCACCUAGUCUUCGAUGGAUAGGGGUUCUGAGAGGAAGGUCCCCCACAUUGGAACUGAGACACGGUCCAA